AUGAGGGAAAGAACACCAAGGAGCACAUCCCAUCCCAGCCAGACUCCACUGACUCCUCAUCGCGUUCUUCUCUGGACACAACAAAGUGUCAGGCAGAACAGCCAUAGCAUACUAUGCUCAAGUCUCCACUCACGGUUUAUAAGGCAGAGCUGGAAGAAACCUUGAAGCCCCAGGAGCCAAAUGCCUCUCAUUUAACACUAGGAGAUCCUGGGAUCAAGGCAGCCACCCUAGACCAAGGCAACACUGAACAGCCCCUAAGAAAGUAUCCUGUGAUGAACUGAAUUGCAUAGACAACUAAAUAUGUGUGUCUACAGUGUAUUCUUUAUCAGAUCUGUGCAUUCAGUCUGAAAUAAAAUAUUUGUAGGUUAAUCAACAGAGUGCCAUUUCUAAUUCAUCAA
This 398-nucleotide long non-coding RNA is filed under the name Bos grunniens (domestic yak). RNAcentral's name for it is "lncRNA (ENSBGRG00000004771.1)". The record is from RNAcentral. Lineage: Eukaryota; Metazoa; Chordata; Mammalia; Artiodactyla; Bovidae.